GAUGAACGCUAGCGGCAGGCUUAACACAUGCAAGUCGAGGGGCAGCGCGGUAGCAAUACUGGCGGCGACCGGCAAACGGGUGCGGAACACGUACAGAACCUACCUUUACCUGGGGCAUAGCCCGGAGAAAUCCGGAUUAACUCCCCAUAAUAUAUUUGGAUGGCAUCAUUUGGAUAUUAAAAAUUUAUUGGGUAAAGAUGGCUGUGCGUCCCAUUAGCUAGUUGGUAGGGUAACGGCCUACCAAGGCGACGAUGGGUAGCUGGUGUGAGAGCACGACCAGCCACACGGGCACUGAGACACGGGCCCGACUCCUACGGGAGGCAGCAGUGAGGAAUAUUGGUCAAUGGACGCAAGUCUGAACCAGCCAUGCCGCGUGAAGGAUGAA
RNAcentral lists this ribosomal RNA (385 nucleotides) under uncultured bacterium. Its description in RNAcentral is "bacterial SSU rRNA". It matches the Rfam family "Bacterial small subunit ribosomal RNA", at positions 28 to 412 of the family's 1533-position model. The record is from RNAcentral.